UUCCGGUUGAUCCUGCCAGAGGUUACUGCUAUCGAGGUUCGACUAAGCCAUGCGAGUCGAAUGUAGCAAUACAUGGCGUACUGCUCAGUAACACGUGGACAACCUGCCCUUAGGUUGGGUAUAAACCCGGGAAACUGGGUAUAAUCCCCUAUAAGUCUCGGCUGCUGGAAUGCACCGAGAUUAAAAGCUCCGGCGCCUAAGGAUGGGUCUGCGGCCUAUCAGGUAGUAGUGGGUGUAGCGUACCUACUAGCCUACGACGGGUACGGGUUGUGAGAGCAAGAGCCCGGAGAUGGAUUCUGAGACACGAAUCCAGGCCCUACGGGGUGCAGCAGGCGCGAAAACUUUACAAUGCUGGCAACAGCGAUAAGGGAACCUCGAGUGCCAGGUUACAAAUCUGGCUGUCGAGAUGCCUAAAAAGCAUUUCAUAGCAAGGGCCGGGCAAGACCGGUGCCAGCCGCCGCGGUAACACCGGCGGCUCGAGUGGUAGCCGUUAUUAUUGGGUCUAAAGGGUCUGUAGCCGGCCGGAUAAGUCUCUUGAGAAAUCUGGCAGCUCAACUGUCAGGCUUUCAGGAGAUACUGUCUGGCUCGAGGCCGGGAGAGGUGAGAGGUACUUCAGGGGUAGGGGUGAAAUCUUGUAAUCCUUGAAGGACCACCAGUGGCGAAGGCGUCUCACCAGAACGGACCUGACGGCAAGGGACGAAAGCUAGGGGCACGAACCGGAUUAGAUACCCGGGUAGUCCUAGCCGUAAACGAUACUCGCUAGGUGUCGGCCACGGUGCGACCGUUGUCGGUGCCGUAGGGAAGCCGUGAAGCGAGCCACCUGGGAAGUACGGCCGCAAGGCUGAAACUUAAAGGAAUUGGCGGGA
RNAcentral lists this ribosomal RNA (866 nucleotides) under uncultured Methanosaeta sp. RNAcentral's name for it is "bacterial SSU rRNA". It matches the Rfam family "Archaeal small subunit ribosomal RNA", at positions 1 to 873 of the family's 1478-position model. Lineage: Archaea; Methanobacteriati; Methanobacteriota; Methanomicrobia; Methanotrichales; Methanotrichaceae. The record is from RNAcentral.